Molecule: ribosomal RNA, 465 nt
Filed under: uncultured bacterium
Lineage: Bacteria
Description: partial 16S ribosomal RNA
Rfam family: Bacterial small subunit ribosomal RNA
Source: RNAcentral
CUACGGGGUGCAGCAGUGAGGAAUAUUGCGCAAUGGGGGAAACCCUGACGCAGCGACGCCGCGUGGAUGAUGAAGGCCUUAGGGUCGUAAAAUCCUGUCAGGUGGGAAGAAGUGGAUAUAGAUUAAUACUCUAUUUCUUUGACGGUACCACCAAAGGAAGCACCGGCUAACUCCGUGCCAGCAGCCGCGGUAAUACGGAGGGUGCAAACGUUGUUCGGAAUUACUGGGCGUAAAGCGCGCGUAGGCGGUUUGUUAAGUCAGAUGUGAAAGUCCAUGGCUCAACUAUGGAGGUGCAUUUGAAACUGGCAGACUUGAGUACUGGAGGGGGUGAUGGAAUUCCCGGUGUAGAGGUGAAAUUCGUAGAUAUCGGGAGGAAUACCGGUGGCGAAGGCGAACACCUGGCCAGAUACUGACGCUGAGGUGCGAAAGCGUGGGGAGCAAACAGGAUUAGAUACCCUUGUAGUC